Molecule: RNA transcript, 2761 nt
Organism: Phyllostomus hastatus (greater spear-nosed bat)
Lineage: Eukaryota; Metazoa; Chordata; Mammalia; Chiroptera; Phyllostomidae
Gene: SPATA3
Gene name: spermatogenesis associated 3
Exons: 5
Source: RefSeq, a predicted model, not a curated record
CAUAGGAGUCCAACCACGGGCCAGAAGGAUUUGUCCGCCUGACACCGAGGACAUACAAAAUGGCAGAGAAACGAAACACGCCGACAGUACACCAGCACCCAGAAGCAACUUCCCUAUCUCUGCUGGAAAAUUUCCAAGGAAUAGAGAGAGCACAGAGACUCUUAGUGGCAGCAGGACUCAGAGGCAGGGUGCAGGGGGGCUAUUGUGACAUGCUCCAGGGAAGGGCAGCUGUGCCCUUGGCUAAGGAAGGCCCGGCCCAGAGGGGCAAGGGAGCCGGCGGACAUGGAGCCGAAGAGGCAGCCCUCCCCGGCUCCGGAGGGCGGGAAGGCGGAGCCGCAGCCACAGGCUCCCGCCCAGACCAUCGAGGGCCACGGCCAGGUGCUGCUGCUGCGCGGGCUCUGGCAGCAGGAUGAGCCGUGCCUGGCCCUGCAGGACAUUCUGGAGCAGGCCCCGACAAACAGGCCCGCCGGUCCUUCGUCCAUCCGAGCCCCAAGCAGCCGCAGCAGCUCCAACAGCUGCUCCAGGCUGCGUCGCAAGCGCUCGGGCGACAGGUCUUCGAACGGCGCGGACUGCCCGGCAGCCAAGUCCAAACGCUCCGCCCAGAAGCUGCCGGAUCCCAAGCUCAGGGAUGACGCCCCGCGUGAGUGUGAGCCAGAGGCAGCUCGGGCUGUGCCCCGGGCCCCCGGGUCCGGGACCGCGGAGGAUCCGGCGUCUGGAGGCCGGGACUCGCCGCAGCCUCCGGAGCCUCCGGAGCCCGGCGCGCGGCUGCUCCUGGUGCUGUGCCGCGUGUCCGCGCUGCGCUCGCAGCUCCCGCGGCUGCAGCUGCUCCUGCAGCAGGUGCACGCCCAGCACCGCGGCCCGCCCGCCGCGCUGGUCGGGAUCGUGGUGCAGCCGCGGCGGGACGAGGAGGCCGAGGCGCGCCGCCUCAUGGAAACCCUGCUGUGCAGCGCCUUCGCGCCGCCCAGCCCCGCCGUGGAGGUGCACACGGCCGUGUUCAGCCCCAGCCGCCCCGAGGGUACCCUGGACGUCCAGCGCGCCGCCAACGGAGCACGCAAUGUCCCGGCGCGAGGCUGCGUCCACCUAGUGGAUGGACAGACUCAGACGGAUGGGCCUCCGACGCGGUCGGUCCCGCGCCCCUUCUGUUCCUGCACCACUUGCCCCGGCAGCUCUGCUUGCUGGCGUCGUCUGGGCCUGUGCCACAGCCGCAUCUUCGAUGUCCUUCUGCCUCGGGCCUGGCCGACCAUGCCAGGGAGAGGAACCCCAAGCCUCCUCACCUUCUACAGAAGACCUUCAAGAAAGCACUCCAGUCAUCGUCAUUCACGUGCUCCAAGCUCUCGGGACUGCAGCUGUGGCUCUGGGGGCCCUGGGAGCCGCCUACCACAUCAUUGAAUCCUUGUGAACAACGCCCCGGCUCUCAGUCCAGCAGCCCUCGGUACCUGCUACGUGCUGUAAAGUUUACUUCCUGCUCAUGGUCUAUCUGAUUAUUAGACCAGCCAGAAGAACCUAGAAGAGUAGAGGAAGUUCCUUCCUCCCUCACGGCACUCUGCCCCUUCCCACAAGACCACAUCCUUGAGACAAGAGGAGGCUACAGGGCAUGGAACAGUGGCCCUUGGUAUUGGGAAUCAGGAUGCAUGUUUACCUCAUGCAAACCAGCUCCCUGGAAACCUGCAGGAGAGACUCAACACACACGUCCCAGAAUCCUCCCUGGCUCUUGGCAAACGUGCCUUCUCCCACCCCCUCAGCCACAGCUGCGGGGGACGGGGUGUAGGGGGGCGCCGGAAUGCAAUGUGCCCCCUUUCCCUCCCUCCUCCUGUACUGUUCACACAGAGCAGCAAACACAGAAAGACUUCAUUCACAGGCUCCAUCGCUAGGCUCUCUAUUGAAAGCUUUCUGAAAAUGCAAAUUCCUCUGAAGUGGAUUCUUGUCAAAGGCUUUCAAGUUGCACACUCCCACUGAGAGCAGUGAAGCAGACCAAGACUUCCCUGGGCAGGAGGCUCCAUAAAACUAAUAUUUACAUUUAAAGGAGAAACUCUGAACUAGCCAGAAAGCAGAACUUGCUGCUGUGAAGUCAGGCUUGACAGCUGCAAGGUGGGAACGCAGUUUCUAGGGCCUCACUUCCUGGGGAGUGUGCCUGUGGGAAGCCCCCAUUUUUGCUGCCUGUGCCCCACCCCAACCUUGGCCUUGCCCCCUUCCGUCUUUCAUUCAGCAUGGGCCUGAGCUGGUGCUUACGUGAGUCCUGGAGGCCAGGGGCCUCAACAAGACAGACGUGCUGUCCGCCGGACCCUCAAAUCCAGCGACAUGCACAAGCCACUCCAGGAACAAAGCCCCCCCUCUCCAGGGGCCCUGGUCUGCCUGCUCCCUCACCCCACAGGACUAGGAGGUUCUAGUCCCGGUCCCUCCCCAGAGAAGAGCCCCCCCUUUGGGAUAACUUGCUCAUAAGCAUUGGGCAUUUUAAGCCUUGUCCCCACACACCCCUUCCCACACUGCCCCCAGCCCCCACCUUGGCUAUUCAAAGACUAGGCCCUUUCCACCUUCAGCCAGGUUUCCUGGGGUGCCCCUCCCUCCCCCAGAGGCUCUCCCUGGAGGAGAGGGGGUACCCUCCCCUCCCUCAGGCGGCAGAUGAGAUCCAAGCUGAGAUUACUGAAGACAGGAUUCCUCUCCUCUCACUAAGCUUUACACCCCCAACCCAGAGAUUACUUGGUUAAAACGGACAUUUUUUCCUUGAUUACACAGGAUUUGAUAACAUACCAUUGCUACCUGC